GCUCCUUCUCCAGCACUAUGUCUGCCUGAAUUUGGUCAUGUCCCACCAUGAUGAUAAUGGACUCAACCUCUGACAUUGUAAACCACCCAAUUAUUGGAGAAUAUUAUUUUAAGGAUUCCAAAAGCCUGAGAAACAAAGUGGGGGGAGAAAAUCCCAGCAUUUCACAAAGCAUCUAAAACAGAGCUGAUCGAACUGAUGGAUCCUUAACACAACUGAGCUGCUGGAAGAGUGGGUACGGGCUGGCAGCUCUGUGUGACAAACCCUGCCCUGACCUCUAGCCUCUUCUGUGCAACACUCCCACCAACAGUUCCUGUGGUCGACCAGUUGGAGAGAUGUAGAGACCCAGCUCUGCUUUCCUGCUUCUCGGCAGAUGGAUCACACCACUAGAUGGGAAAACUGAAACUUACAGGGGGAAGAACCACGUAGCUAGCAACUUUGUGUGCCAAGGCUCACCGUGCAGAACUGGCUGGGAGCUUUCUGAAACAUCUUCCAUUAGAUUCUGUCUGGGAGGAAACAGCCCCUGCAUAAAGUCUUCCGUGGAAAAAAACAUGAAGAUUUCACUGGCUUUAUCUGCAUGGCCUGGUUGCCUGCAGGACUUUACAGUUCCUACUACAGCCCAAGAGAAGCUGACAACUAGAACGAAUGGCAAAGAUUUCCCCACCACUGCUAAUUGCAAGGCAGAGGAAUUUUGCAUGCUGCUACCCAAGAAAAUGAGCAUUUUCAUUACCCACCGUAGCUUUAAUGAAUGACCUAAAGUAUAGCCACAGAAAUGCUACCUCAAUUGCAAUGCCUAACGGCACAUUUUUCUCCAGAAAAUCUAAAAGAUUUUUUGUGUGUGUGAGCUGGAGGUUUGAAUCUUUUUUAAAAUCAUGAAAAAAAAAAAGUGCGUGACAUGUUGUCUGCUAAAGUAGAUUUCAACUGUGGCUUUUCAGCUAGGGGACCCAGACUGGUGUGUUCUUGAAUAAAAAUUGAAUCUGACCUCAGUCCCCAGAAGAUCACAUGGAGAUCUUACAGCAAAAUAGUCCAAGAUACAGGGUUCUCCGUACCAGGUAUUUGCUCUACUCUGCAGCCCUGCCAGCAGUGCUCUUCAGACCCAAGAACAUCUGCUCGAAUAACUCUGCUGGGGCCCAGAGAGAUUGCCUGGUGGGUAUGAGCACCUGCUGCUUUUCCAGAGGAUCGGAGUUGGGGUCCCAGGUCAACCAUGUCAGGUGGCUCACAACCACCUAUAAUUCACCUUCUGUAGGAUCUUAUCCCUCUGUGACACAC
Mesocricetus auratus (golden hamster) is the source of this 1266-nucleotide long non-coding RNA. RefSeq lists it as uncharacterized. NCBI's taxonomy places the organism in Eukaryota, Metazoa, Chordata, Mammalia, Rodentia, Cricetidae. The transcript has 4 exons. The record is from RefSeq and is a predicted model, not a curated record.